UAGGGAAUCUUCCGCAAUGGACGCAAGUCUGACGGAGCAACGCCGCGUGAGUGAAGAAGGAUUUCGGUUCGUAAAACUCUGUUGUUAGAGAAGAACAGCGCAUAGAGUAACUGUUAUGCGUGUGACGGUAUCUAACCAGAAAGCCACGGCUAACUACGUGCCAGCAGCCGCGGUAAUACGUAGGUGGCAAGCGUUGUCCGGAUUUAUUGGGCGUAAAGCGAGCGCAGGCGGUCAAUUAAGUCUGAUGUGAAAGCCCCCGGCUCAACCGGGGAGGGUCAUUGGAACCUGUUUGACUUGAGUGCAGAAGAGGAGAGUGGAAUUCAAUGUGUAGCGGUGAAAUGCGGAGAUAUAUGGAGGAACACCAGUGGCAAAGGGGACUCUCUGGUCUGUAACUGCCGCUGAGGUUCGAAAGCGUGGGUAGCAAACAGG
Molecule: ribosomal RNA, 429 nt
Filed under: Bacteroidota bacterium
Lineage: Bacteria; Pseudomonadati; Bacteroidota
Description: Bacteroidetes bacterium partial 16S ribosomal RNA
Rfam family: Bacterial small subunit ribosomal RNA
Source: RNAcentral